Molecule: transfer RNA, 75 nt
Filed under: Gammaproteobacteria bacterium HGW-Gammaproteobacteria-1
Lineage: Bacteria; Pseudomonadati; Pseudomonadota; Gammaproteobacteria
Description: tRNA-Ile
Rfam family: tRNA
About the family: Transfer RNA (tRNA) molecules are approximately 80 nucleotides in length.
Source: RNAcentral
UGCCCCGUAGCUCAGCGGCAGAGCACCCGGCUGAUAACCGGGAGGUCGCCGGGUCAGCACCGGCCGGGGCAACCA